UACGAAGGGGGCUAGCGUUGUUCGGAAUUACUGGGCGUAAAGCGCACGUAGGCGGACUUGUCAGUCAGGGGUGAAAUCCCGAGGCUUAACCUCGGAACUGCCUUUGAUACUGCAAGUCUUGAGGAUGAGAGAGGUAAGUGGAACUGCGAGUGUAGAGGUGAAAUUCGUAGAUAUUCGCAAGAACACCAGUGGCGAAGGCGGCUCACUGGCCCGGUACUGACGCUGAUGCGCGAAAGCGUGGGUAGCAAACAGG
RNAcentral lists this ribosomal RNA (253 nucleotides) under uncultured bacterium. RNAcentral describes it as "partial 16S ribosomal RNA". It matches the Rfam family "Bacterial small subunit ribosomal RNA", at positions 524 to 776 of the family's 1533-position model. The record is from RNAcentral.